RNAcentral lists this ribosomal RNA (250 nucleotides) under uncultured bacterium. Its description in RNAcentral is "partial 16S ribosomal RNA". It matches the Rfam family "Bacterial small subunit ribosomal RNA", at positions 524 to 773 of the family's 1533-position model. The record is from RNAcentral.
UACGGAGGGUGCAAGCGUUGCUCGGAAUCACUGGGCGUAAAGAGCGUGUAGGCGGUUUCGUAUGUCUGACGUGAAAGCCCCGGGCUCACCCCGGGAAGUGCGUUGGAAACUGCGAAACUAGAGUCCCGGAGAGGAAGGUGGAAUUCCAGGUGUAGCGGUGAAAUGCGUAGAUAUCUGGAAGAACACCGGUGGCGAAGGCGGCCUUCUGGACGGUGACUGACGCUGAGACGCGAAAGCGUGGGGAGCAAAC